AGGGGAUUCCGGCUUCCGGCCCGGACUGGAGCUGCCUGGCGUCGGUGCCCGCGCCCGGCCCAGCCCGGGGCCCGCCCUCCCCUCUUCCUGGGCAGUGGCCCCGCCUGCGUUUCCAGGCUUCCUCUUGAUAAUAGCGAGUAGCCCUGGAGUGGUGUCAGCCCGCCAGGCUGAGCGCUCUGCGUAUUCAGGCGUUGAAGUUGGGGAGAAGAAGUGGGUGACUGUGGGUGACACGUCCCUGAGGAUAUUUAAGUGGGUUCCUGUGACAGACAGCAAGGAGACGAAAACAGCAACCAGAGUUCCGUGUCUGACGUCUAUCAGCUUAAGGUGGACAGCAGCACCAACUCAAGCCCCAGCCCCCAGCAGAGUGAGUCCCUGAGCCCAGCACACACCUCCGACUUCCGCACGGAUGACUCCCAGCCCCCAACGCUGGGCCAGGAGAUCCUGGAGGAGCCCUCCCUGCCCUCCUCGGAAGUUGCUGAUGAACCUCCUACCCUCACCAAGGAAGAACCAGUUCCACUAGAGACACAGGUCGUUGAGGAAGAGGAAGACUCAGGUGCCCCGCCCCUGAAGCGCUUCUGUGUGGACCAACCCACAGUGCCGCAGACGGCGUCAGAAAGCUAGCACCAUCCCGGCCCUCCGCCUCCUGGCCCUGC
This 653-nucleotide long non-coding RNA is filed under the name Homo sapiens (human). RNAcentral's name for it is "non-protein coding lnc-BCL7B-1:2". Lineage: Eukaryota; Metazoa; Chordata; Mammalia; Primates; Hominidae. The record is from RNAcentral.